Molecule: ribosomal RNA, 483 nt
Filed under: uncultured bacterium
Lineage: Bacteria
Description: bacterial SSU rRNA
Rfam family: Bacterial small subunit ribosomal RNA
Source: RNAcentral
AAUCAACGCUGGCGGCGUGCCUCAGACAUGCAAGUCGAACGAUUAAAAGCUCUCUUCGGAGAGUGCAUAGAGUGGCGCACGGGUGAGUAACACGUAAGUAAUCUACCUUCGAGUGGGGAAUAACGUCCGGAAACGGACGCUAAUACCGCAUAAUGCAGCGGCAUCGUAAGAUGACAGUUGUUAAAGAUUUAUCGCUUGAAGAGGAGCUUGCGGCAGAUUAGCUAGUUGGUAAGGUAAUGGCUUACCAAGGCUACGAUCUGUAACCGGUCUUAGAGGACGGUCGGUCACACUGACACUGAAUAACGGGUCAGACUCCUACGGGAGGCAGCAGUCGGGAAUUUUGGGCAAUGGGCGAAAGCCUGACCCAGCAACGCCGCGUGAAGGAUGAAGUAUUUCGGUAUGUAAACUUCGAAAGAUAGGAAGAAUAAAUGACGGUACUAUUUAUAAGGUUCCGGCUAACUACGUGCCAGCAGCCGCGGUAAU